Acanthosepion pharaonis is the source of this 108-nucleotide non-coding RNA. The record is from the annotation of a GenBank genome assembly. NCBI's taxonomy places the organism in Eukaryota, Metazoa, Mollusca, Cephalopoda, Sepiida, Sepiidae.
UACAGUCAUAUCAUGGUGAAACACUAUUUCUCGUACGGUCAACGAAGUUAAGCAAGGUCGCGCCUGGUCACUACCUAGAUGGGUGACCGCUUGGGAAAACUAGGAGCU